Molecule: ribosomal RNA, 744 nt
Filed under: uncultured bacterium
Lineage: Bacteria
Description: bacterial SSU rRNA
Rfam family: Bacterial small subunit ribosomal RNA
Source: RNAcentral
AGAGUUUGAUCAUGGCUCAGAACGAACGCUGGCGGCAGGCCUAACACAUGCAAGUCGAACGCUCGUAGCAAUACGGGAGUGGCGCACGGGUGAGUAACGCGUGGGCACCUACCCGGUGGUUUGGGAUAACCGCGGGAAACUGCGGCUAAUACCGGAUACGCCCCUCGGGGGAAAGAUUUAUCGCCAUCGGAUGGGCCCGCGUAGGAUUAGCUAGUUGGUGAGGUAACGGCUCACCAAGGCUACGAUCCUUAGCUGGUCUGAGAGGAUGAUCAGCCACACUGGGACUGAGACACGGCCCAGACUCCUACGGGAGGCAGCAGUGGGGAAUAUUGGACAAUGGGGGCAACCCUGAUCCAGCCAUGCCGCGUGAGUGAAGAAGGCCUUCGGGUUGUAAAGCUCUUUUGGCGGGGACGAUGAUGACGGUACCCGCAGAAUAAGCCCCGGCUAACUUCGUGCCAGCAGCCGCGGUAAGACGAAGGGGGCUAGCGUUGUUCGGAAUUACUGGGCGUAAAGGGCGCGUAGGCGGUCUUGUCAGUCAGGCGUGAAAGCCCUGGGCUCAACCUGGGAGGUGCGUUUGAUACUGCAAGGCUUGAGUGCAGGAGAGGAUGGUGGAAUUCCCAGUGUAGAGGUGAAAUUCGUAGAUAUUGGGAAGAACACCGGUGGCGAAGGCGGCCAUCUGGACUGCAACUGACGCUGAGGCGCGAAAGCGUGGGGAGCAAACAGGAUUAGAUACCCUAGUAGUCC